This is a long non-coding RNA of Sinocyclocheilus anshuiensis, 172 nucleotides long. RefSeq lists it as uncharacterized. Lineage: Eukaryota; Metazoa; Chordata; Actinopteri; Cypriniformes; Cyprinidae. The record is from RefSeq and is a predicted model, not a curated record. The transcript is spliced from 3 exons.
ACAAUUAUUCAAUUACAGUUACUGUAAAGAAAACAACCUGUAACAUGAGUCUGUGUGAAACAUUCUGAAGAGAGAUUGUGAAACCAGAACAGAUGAUUGUUGUAACACUGUCCCAUUUCAUGCUUGCAGUUACUGUAAAGAAAACAACCUGUAACAUGAGUCUGUGUGAAAC